This 235-nucleotide long non-coding RNA is filed under the name Zostera marina. Its description in RNAcentral is "long non-coding RNA (ZMAR_LNC005151)". Lineage: Eukaryota; Viridiplantae; Streptophyta; Magnoliopsida; Alismatales; Zosteraceae. The record is from RNAcentral.
GUGCUCUUCCUCCUUCAUGGAGUCCGCACGAGCCUUCGUGUACUUCCUUAAUGACAUUGUCAGUGUCGGGUUUGGCCAAAAAACGCAACAACGGGCUGUCGAAGGACUUUUUAUAAAGUGCCCCUCCGACUUCGCAGAACUUGGCUGCUUUGUGUUGUAACUUUUUGGCCUCACUCCGAUUGUCCGGAAGUACACCGUUUUGAAUGAAUGCCAGUAUUGGUUGCCUCCAAUCCUC